Long non-coding RNA from Notolabrus celidotus (New Zealand spotty), 523 nucleotides. RefSeq lists it as uncharacterized. The transcript is spliced from 3 exons. Lineage: Eukaryota; Metazoa; Chordata; Actinopteri; Labriformes; Labridae. The record is from RefSeq and is a predicted model, not a curated record.
GUGGGUUAAGGCUCCUGUGAGGAUCUUUCAGAUAUGUGGAAUUUGGCGCCCUGUGGACAGAGCACUACCUACUUGCUCUUCAUUGAUCCUGUCCUGUACAUGAAUAGCAUUACUAUCCCGCUCCAGCUACAGAAGAGUAAAGGAAACAUUCUAACUUAUCAUGGUGUGACUGCUGACCUGGUCAUGGUGCGGUAGGCUUCCUCGGCCACAGAGAAGAUGUGAGGUUCCAUGUCGCCCAUGUCCUGACCACUGUAGGCAUCAAUCACCUCCUCUCCAUAUAUGGGGAGCUGGUCGUAGGGAUUGAUAGCCACUAACACAAUACCUGGAGGGACAGAUCACUCCGCUGCGGACCUCAGCCGCAUCACUACCUGCCUGUCUCGCCGGGGCACCAGGGCUACAUCCGCAAGGAAAAACAUAGGACAGCCUGGACCGCUAGGCAGCCAGCACGAGACAGGAAGUAAGAGGCUUAUAACUUCAGAAUAAAAAACAAAAGCUUUGACAUAUAAUUAAAGCAUCAAGCGUU